RNAcentral lists this ribosomal RNA (253 nucleotides) under uncultured bacterium. RNAcentral describes it as "partial 16S ribosomal RNA". It matches the Rfam family "Bacterial small subunit ribosomal RNA", at positions 524 to 776 of the family's 1533-position model. The record is from RNAcentral.
UACGUAGGGUGCAAGCGUUGUCCGGAAUUAUUGGGCGUAAAGGGUGCGUAGGCGGCGCGGUAAGUCGGGUGUGAAAUCUCGGAGCUUAACUCCGAAACUGCAUUCGAUACUGCCGUGCUUGAGGACUGGAGAGGAGACUGGAAUUUACGGUGUAGCGGUGAAAUGCGUAGAUAUCGUAAGGAAGACCAGUGGCGAAGGCGGGUCUCUGGACAGUCCCUGACGCUGAGGCACGAAGGUCAGGGGAGCAAACGGG